UGGAGGGCAAGUCUGGUGCCAGCAGCCGCGGUAAUUCCAGCUCCAAUAGCGUAUAUUAAAGUUGUUGUGGUUAAAAAGCUCGUAGUUGAACCUUGGGCCUGGCUGGCCGGUCCGCCUCACCGCGUGUACUGGUCCGGCCGGGCCUUUCCCUCUGUGGAACCCCAUGCCCUUCACUGGGUGUGGCGGGGAAGCAGGACUUUUACUUUGAAAAAAUUAGAGUGCUCCAGGCAGGCCUAUGCUCGAAUACAUUAGCAUGGAAUAAUAGAAUAGGACGUGUGGUUCUAUUUUGUUGGUUUCUAGGACCGCCGUAAUGAUUAAUAGGGACAGUCGGGGGCAUCAGUAUUCAAUUGUCAGAGGUGAAAUUCUUGGAUUUAUUGAAGACUAACUACUGCGAAAGCAUUUGCCAGGGAUGUUUUCAUUAAUCAGGAACGAAAGUUAGGGGAUCGAAGACGAUCAGAUACCGUCGUAGUCUUAACCAUAAACUAUGCCGACUAGGGAUCGGACGAUGUUAUUUUUUGACUCGUUCGGCACCUUACGGGAAAC
Molecule: ribosomal RNA, 543 nt
Filed under: uncultured Fusarium
Lineage: Eukaryota; Fungi; Ascomycota; Sordariomycetes; Hypocreales; Nectriaceae
Description: SSU rRNA
Rfam family: Eukaryotic small subunit ribosomal RNA
Source: RNAcentral